CCCCAGGACUCCCAAGUCUGCCUACUCACUUCUUAAGACUGAACAUAGACCACCCACCAUGGAGUCUGGGCUCAGCUGGCUUCUCCUUGUUGCUCUGUUACAAGGUGUCCAGUGUGAGGAGAAGCUGGUGGAGUCUGGGGGAGGCUUAGUCCAGCCUGUGGGGGCCCUGAGACUCACCUGUGUAGUCUCUGGAUUCUCAUUAAGCAGCUAUGAUAUCAGCUGGGUCCGCCAGGCCUCAGGGAAGGGCCUGGAGUGGGUCUCAUACAUUAGUAGUGGUGGUAGUACAUACUACCCAGACUCUGUGAAAGGCCGAUUCACCAUCUCCAAAGACAAUGGAAAAAACACUGUGUAUCUGCAAAUGGACCGUCUGAGGACUGAGGACACGGCCAAGUAUUACUGUGCAAGGGACACAGUG
Otolemur garnettii (small-eared galago) is the source of this 415-nucleotide non-coding RNA. Lineage: Eukaryota; Metazoa; Chordata; Mammalia; Primates; Galagidae. The record is from the annotation of a RefSeq genome assembly.